GCCAGGCUCCGUGACACUUCAUUGGAAGGAUAUUCCAUUGCUGGUUCCAUGGAUGCACUGAGGUCCACGAGAUGGCACAGAGAAAAGCAGAAAGCUGCUCCAUGACCAUCUGGACGCGAAGAUGUGAAGGCCCUGCCCAGAGCCCAGGAGUCCAGACAGCCUGGGAGACGAGCAGGAGUUGGAGCCCAAGUUGGAGAGAGAGAGGAGAAGCCUUCCGCAGCCCAGUGUGUCCUUGACCCUGUUCAGGAGGUAAGGACAAACAGGAGUGCCGUCAGAAGUCUGCCUUCAGUUCUCACUGAGCCCCUCUGAGAAUGGAACGAUCCACCCGGGAGCUGUGUCUCAACUUCACCGUUGUCCUGAUCACGGUUAUCCUCAUUUGGCUCCUUGUGAGGUCCUAUCAGUACUGAGAUGCCACAGCUCCUGGAAUUGACUGCAACGCUCCAGAGCUGUCUUCUGUGUGCCCUGAGCUCCCACUCCUGUCAUGGGAUGCCUUUUUUCGGCACCUCACGGCACUUCUGACCUGCACGCACAGCAUCUGAGGUGCCGCCAGUGUCAGGAUCGAUCCUGUGACCUCUAAAGAUGCUGCUCUCAAGGGCUGCCAAGUGUUUGCCAGGAAGUGUUAGAUUUAUCCCCCAACUCUUACUGCAAAUGUGUUAGACAAGCCACAAGGGUAAAAGUAAACUGGAUUCACUAUGCCAUAGAAUUUUAACAAGCCCCUGAUCUGUCUCACCACACAUACCUUCAACCCACACUCAGCAACCAAACUGUAAAUCAACCUACCAGAAGAGAGAAAUGUUAAAGGAAGUCUUUGUCAGCCCCUCUAGCUAUCAUGUGAAUAAAGUUAAGUCAACCACAAAAAAUGACUUUUAGAAUUUAUUUUAGCUCCUAUUUGUGAUCCUGCAUUUGACCCUUGGCUGGUAUUGAAAGUGACAAAUGCUACAGUAUUUGUGGCAUUUGAGAUAAGCCAAGAUCCUCCAACUGCUAAGGAUUUGAAACCAAGUCAAUUACGGGUGUCACAUUUCAGAUAAUUCCAUCGGUUCAGUGCUCCUCAAACUUUCCCUCUGAAGUAGUCCCAAAGGGAGAAGGAAAAUAAAUCCAUUUCAUGAGGACGUCUGAAGCACAACCGAACUGCCCACUAAAAGCACAACGUUUCUUUGAAGUUUUGUGUUUGACCAUUAAGAGUCAUAAAAGAAUGUAUAUUUUACUCUGUAAUAUUUCCAUUGUUGCGUUCAUAUAAAUAUUUAAAAUCAUUUGUCACCAAGUAAAACUAGAACAUGAGUCAUGACCCCAAGAGUAACAUGUUCCAGUUUGGCUAUUGUCAUCAUGCAAAUUGGGCCAAUCAUUACUCAAUUACGUUUUUAACAAGGAGGGAAU
RNAcentral lists this long non-coding RNA (1374 nucleotides) under Camelus dromedarius (Arabian camel). RNAcentral describes it as "lncRNA (ENSCDRG00005021417.1)". Lineage: Eukaryota; Metazoa; Chordata; Mammalia; Artiodactyla; Camelidae. The record is from RNAcentral.